AUAAAUAUUUUAGAACCCUUUUAAAAUCAAUUGUAAAUCUUUUAAAACCCUUUUAAAAUCCCUUGUAAAUCUAUUUCCCGUCAAAAAAAAUUU
RNAcentral lists this small RNA (93 nucleotides) under Arabidopsis thaliana (thale cress). RNAcentral's name for it is "ATSL059960". Lineage: Eukaryota; Viridiplantae; Streptophyta; Magnoliopsida; Brassicales; Brassicaceae. The record is from RNAcentral.